AGAGCCCAUAGUAUCAAUUCUUAAGGCCAUUAUGUUUACUUUUCAUGUACGUAAUUGUGUUUAACAGUUAGAUGUGAUGUAGAUACAAUAUUUUUAGAUGCGUUGUCACAUUGUUGCUGUCUUUUGUGGGUAAUGCCAUAUUUGGCUAGGGAAUUUAGUGACUGCAAUACUGGAAGAUUCCAGUAGGGGGCGUAGACAGGAGACUAGGGUCAAGCACGUGUUCCUUUAGUAUCAUAGAACAAUACACUGAUCGAGGGAAACUCAGCGUGUUUGUUUGUCUCUAAUACCUGUUCCCUUAUUGCAGAUUUCAAAGAAGAUGAUAGACUGGGAGUGCAGGGUGUAAAAAGAUUAAUCGUUCAAGACUCCACCUCCUCAGACACCACAGACUAGAACAUAGACACUGCUCAAAAAUAAGUCCACUUCCAUCUUGAAGAUUCUGAAGUGCAUAUUGAGAAUGCUCCAGUGGCUCUAUUUACGGUUGUGCGUUACAGCUCUAAUGCCCAAAUGCAUUAUGACCCAGUGAAUGUCUCUGUUGUUCUUGAGGACGAAUUGGUCACCACCCACAACCAACUUACAGAGGCCUUUCUUGUCUUGUUUGGAUUCCUGUAUGCUUUUCACAUACAAUAUCCUAAAGAACUUGUAUUUGUGCAAAAAAGUUUUUCUUGACAUGGAAGAUGGGAAACUGUCUCCUAGCCUGCAAACCUUAAAAAACGAGUUGAUCUGAAGCAUAACUUGUACUACCUCAGCACACAAAAGACAAAAAGAGUUACUUAAAUGUUAUCUAACUGAUGUUACUUUUGUCAUGAGUCUGGUUUUCUCUGUCUGCCUUUUUGUCACAUACACACACACACACACAUUUAUUCACAUACACACGCCUUCUCUCGCAUACAUCCCUUCAUUUUUAGUGGUAUACCAAACUCUCUCUCUCCCUCUCUCUCCCCUCUCACCUGUGUGUCAUUGCAAUCUGCGCUCGUGCUGAUUGCUGUGACACCUGUUCCCACUCUGCCCUUAGCAUUUAUCUGGUGGCUGUUUUGGCAGUCUCUUUGUCCAACCAGACGUUGUUUGCCAACUGCCAUAAAAGAAGAAGAAGAAGAAGAAGAAGAAGAAGAAGAAGAAGAAGAAGAAGAAGAAGAAGAAGAAGAAGAAGAAGAAGAAGAAGAAGUCAAAGAAGUCUCUUUGUCGGAUUAUUGAAUUGCACAUGUUCUCUGUAUACUCUACAGCUUUAUCGUGUCGUGUCGUGUAUUGGAAAAAGCUCACCUGGUCUCGUCUUGUCUGUCCUGUCCAGUAUCUCUGCUAUUUCGUUUGAUGUUCAGCUGUGUGUGAAAGCUGAGGAGUUUUUUUCCGUACCUGAUUUGUCUACUGUUGCGCCCCGGGCCAGCUCCAGGGAAUAUCUCUAUCGUUUUCCCGGAUUGGGAGUCAAGCAUCUUUUGUUACAUUCCAGUGCUGUGUGACAUCUCCAGACUGCCUUUGUUACCUUUUAAUUAAAGACUCAUUCCCUGUGAUUCCUGCCUUGGAUUUAUCAUUUCAGUAUAACAACUUUAUUUUGUUACUUGUCAAUAAGAACUAAGUAGAUACAAGUUAUUGUAUUAACAAACCGGUUCAGUUUAAGAAAUUGUCAUGUUUAAUGCAACUAUGUGGUGUUAAUAUAUGAAGUUGGCUGUUAAAGGAGCAUUUCACUUGUAGAAACAUUAAUCUUUAUUGAAAGUGUCUUAUAUUUGUAGGCAGUGUUGGGCAAGUUACUUCCAAAGUGUAAUACAUUAUAUAUUACAAAUUACUGUCAUUUGAAAGUAAUUAGUUACAUUACAAUAUUACUAUCUACUGUAAUGAGUUACACUACUUUUGCGUUACUUUUGAGUUACUUUCAUCAAAAGAACAGAAGUAUGACUAGGCAUUAUAAAAUGUUAAAAUGUAGUUUGUUGCUGCUUAUAAAUCUAGAAGUUAUGUGUUGGCCCUCGAGCUUUGAAUAGGGCUUGGGCGCCGCGUUGCAUUCUGGGACGUGGCGGCCAUGUUGGUGGCCUCGCGAAUGUAAUCAUACUAGUGAUGGGCAGUCCGGCUCUUUCCAUUGAUUCGGCUCUUUCGGCUCAAGCGCUGGCUCUACAUUUUAGUGAUGGCAGUCCGGCUCUUUUCAUAGAUUCGGCUCUUCUGGCUCGGCUCCCUUAGAAGAGCCGGCUCCCCUGCAUGCGUCUGAAGAUUCGGCUCUGCUCGUUCGCUACAAAGAAUCAGCUCUUAGAGCCGCUCGUUCGCGAACGACCCAUCACUAAAUCAUACAGCAAGUUGAACGAGGAGAAGCGGCAGAGUUGGGAGAAUUAAAAGAAAGAAAAAAGAUGUUAAAAUCCGGAAAAGUAUGUGUAAUUUACUGGGAUACGUUAAACAGGGAAGCAGGGACCGGUAUGUGGACAAAAUCGGAACUAUUAACGGUUGGGAUCCAUAUGAAAAAAGAGUCAUUUAAGAUAACAGCGUGGUUGUUGUAAGAGCACGAUUUCACGCCAAUCUGUAAGCAAAGUCACGUAUGACCUAGCUUCACAAGUAGCUUAGUUAAUGCAGCAGUUUUUGCUGUCAGCAGAGGGAUAGCAACAGAAAGAUGAAUGUUGAAAUGUUCCCGUAUUUUGGGCGAGUAAACCGGGACAUUUCCCUUAUGUUCAAUGUUGACUUAAGCUAUAUAAAUUAAUAUUCAGAUGUUAUACUUCACUGUCGUAUAUAUAAAUGUCAUUUAUAUGUCAUGUAUACACAUUACUGAGGGGUUGAGGUUAAUGUUUGGUUUCCGAUAUUGAAUAAAA
Molecule: long non-coding RNA, 2777 nt
Organism: Misgurnus anguillicaudatus (oriental weatherfish)
Lineage: Eukaryota; Metazoa; Chordata; Actinopteri; Cypriniformes; Cobitidae
Source: RefSeq, a predicted model, not a curated record